AAACCCUCAAAUUAUACUCCAAUACUCAAAUCAUACUCCAAUAAGUCAAAUGGGGCUAAAAAAUUUCUUUUCUAAAAAUUCCCAUUGUGUCCUUGGGUGGCAAAUGACCAUUUUGCCCCUGGACAGUAAAAAUUCUAGUUUGACUUCAAAUUGAUCCUCGAACUCCAAAUCACCAUAUUAAACCAUUCUGGGACUUUAAUAUUCUUAAUUUCAUUUUAAAUUCUCUAUUUGAUCUAGUUCGAGACUUAAAUUAACUUAAUUGUACCAUUUGGUACAUUGUCGUCUUUUAACGAUUUUUCUUUCAGGGCUUUCCAAGUAUGCAAGCAUAUUGUCAAUCAUAUGAAUGACAUGGAAAGUAUUUUAUAAGAUCGGGCUUGACA
RNAcentral lists this long non-coding RNA (380 nucleotides) under Theobroma cacao (cacao). Its description in RNAcentral is "long non-coding RNA (TCAC_LNC003989)". Lineage: Eukaryota; Viridiplantae; Streptophyta; Magnoliopsida; Malvales; Malvaceae. The record is from RNAcentral.